Sarcophilus harrisii (Tasmanian devil) is the source of this 493-nucleotide long non-coding RNA. RefSeq lists it as uncharacterized. Lineage: Eukaryota; Metazoa; Chordata; Mammalia; Dasyuromorphia; Dasyuridae. The record is from RefSeq and is a predicted model, not a curated record. The transcript is spliced from 2 exons.
ACCUUGUUUCAGCCGGCUCCUGAGAAGUAAGAACGUUUCUCUCUACCGACCCUAACUUCCCAGGCCAGCCACCUGAUAAAGCAAGGAAAGCAACAGGAUCAUGUAGCAGGGAAGGAAGGGGCGAAAACAGUGUCAGGAUGCGUAGAAAAUCUCAGCGCUUGUCUCCUCACCAGCGAGUGCAGACUAAGCGCAGGUGAAGGAGGCCUCCUGGGGGACUCGCCUCCACACCGCUCUGAAUCGCACCCAUCCACCCCGAACCGUGACCUGGCUUCUUGCCUCCUGAAGCGGAUCCCUACCUCUUGCCUAGGUAGAGAGACUAAACGGAGAGGGAAAUACAUCAACGGAGAAGCCAUCCUAGGCAGAGUCCUGCACAAGGAAGGGAAAUGAGAUGGAAUGCAUUUUGCUGGGACCGGUUCGAUUGAUACACUUUCAAUGUGAAUGAACAUCAGAAAUGAAAUGGACUAGAUCAGAGCCUAGUAAACUCUGAAAAUUG